AAAAGAGUAAUAGUAUUAUUCAAAUUUGAAGUCACGCGAAAUUGGCAGAAUAUCGGUCAUAGGUGUCUUCGGAGAUGGUGCUGCCGGAUGCUAUUUUAAGUGAAACCAACGACACGACCUGACACUUAGUGAAAUUUAUCGAAGAAAAAGUGUGCGAAUCAUUUACUGCCAUUUACCAGUACAUUUAGUGACCCCUCGAUGUGGUCAAGAAAAAUAGUUUUCCAGCAGCACUUUCUUGUUUUGAUUUUGAGUUGCUGUGUAGCAACCUUGCUGUUUUGUUUAUGUAAAUAAGCAGUAUGAAUAAAAAUCAGUUGGAGGAAAAACUUUUCCAACAAAUAUUCGAGUGAGUGCGAAUUUGCUGAACUGGUCCUACUUCGGUAAAAAAAACCACACAUGUCGGAAUAGCAGGUUCAUUUGCAACUAAUUUGUGACGGUACUGACGACACAGGUGUUUCGAGGGCUAUUUCGAUCAACGCGGUAGAUUUAAUGAUUGCAUUGAUUUCGAACGUUCUUUGACUCGAGGCUCGCUUUCAUGAUCCGUGGAAUGACCGCCAGUGCUCGAUUAUAUGAGUUCUUUUCAGUGCACCCAAAGAUGGAUCAAAAACUAAUUCACAUCACUCCCGAAUCUCAGAUGUGGGGAGAAAUUUAAUUUGAAAGCGUAUCUUUCACAAGACCCGAGCCAGCGAGCGGAGCCCUUGCGUGGUCUUCUGGUGCCCUUGGCGGGGUCUCAGGUAUGCGCUCCAACAGAAGUUGUAAACGUUCCGCUGACAUAAGCUGGAUAACUAUGUAGCUUCAGAUAAUCACUAUUGACUUGUCAAAGGAGUUUGGGUUGAAAACCAUUGAGACUGCCGCCCCUUGCAGACCACUAGCCUUAUUAUUUCUGCAUCCAAUAGACACCGAGGGCGAAAUAUACCGAUGAAAAAAUGGAGCAGAAUAAAUACAUCAGAUGAAAAGAUUUUAUUUAAUUUUAAUCUAAUUUCGAAUUACUCAUAUACGAGAUGCAAUUUUUGGAAUGCUAGUGUCUAGUCGUGUCGUUGGUAAGACUUUUCGUUCUCCGGAACCUGCAACGGUUGUAGGAAUAGGAAUAAAAAACGGUAAUCCUUCAAAGUCUCCACCACUCGAGACCAGCGAAAUAAGAAAAAGAAAACUAGAGGGAUGAAGAAAUAACUCAUACUCGUUCCGUUGGCCGAGGCAGUAGUCCUGAUGCUAGAUACCACACUCCAGAAAUCGGUAAGAAUGGCGUUUCCUCGUCGCCCAAGAUAUAGGACGAUGCGACGUUGUCAGAGUCGGAGUUGGAAUUGCAAAGGGCGACUUGCCCAUCGCACCUGAAAGAAUAAUUGGACGAGUGCUCCCAGUUGGUACUGACGGUUAACUUUCCCUCAGCGAGUCACAGAAGACAAUGACGCAGUAGCAAGUUAGAAGUACAAAAUUGUAUCUAUUUGAACCAUAGAUAAA
Topomyia yanbarensis is the source of this 1455-nucleotide long non-coding RNA. RefSeq lists it as uncharacterized. The record is from RefSeq and is a predicted model, not a curated record. NCBI's taxonomy places the organism in Eukaryota, Metazoa, Arthropoda, Insecta, Diptera, Culicidae. The transcript has 4 exons.